GCGUUAUCCGGAUUCACUGGGCGUAAAGAGCGUUGAGGCGGUUCCGUAAGUUGGGCGUGAAAGCUCCGGGCUUAACCCGGAGAUGUCGUUCAAUACUGCGGGGCUUGAGGACAGCAGAGGAAGGUGGAAUUCCCGGUGUAGUGGUGAAAUGCGUAGAUAUCGGGAGGAACACCCGUGGCGAAGGCGGCCUUCUGGGCUGUUCCUGACGCUGAAGGCGAAAGCUAGGGGAGCGAACGGGAUUAGAUACCCCGGUAGUCCUAGCUGUAAACGAUGGAUGCUGGGUGUGGGGGGUGUAAAUUCCCUCUGUGCCGAAGCAAACGCGUUAAGCAUCCCGCCUGGGGACUACGGCCGCAAGGCUAAAACUCAAACGAAUUGACGGGGGCCCGCACAAGCAGCGGAGCGUGUGGUUUAAUUCGAUGCUACACGAAGAACCUUACCUGGGUUUGACAUGCACGUGGUAGGGAACCGAAAGGGGACCGACCUUCGGGAGCGUGCACAGGUGCUGCAUGGCUGUCGUCAGCUCGUGCCGUGAGGUGUCGGGUUAAGUCCCGUAACGAGCGCAACCCUUGCCCUUAGUUACAAGUGUCUAAGGGGACUGCCCGGGACAACUGGGAGGAAGGUGGGGAUGACGUCAAGUCAGCAUGGCCUUUAUAUCCAGGGCUACACACACGCUACAAUGGCCAGUACAAUAGGUAGCCAAGUCGUGAGACGGAGCCAAUCCUUAAAACUGGUCUCAGUUCGAAUUGCAGUCUGCAACUCGACUGCAUGAAGCUGGAGUUGCUAGUAAUCGCAGGUCAGCCAUACUGCGCUGAUACGUUCCCGGGCCUUGUACACACCGCCCGUCACGUCAUGGAAGCUGGCAACGCCUGAAGCCGGUGAGCUAACCCGAAAGGGGGCAGCCGUCGAG
This 907-nucleotide ribosomal RNA is filed under the name uncultured organism. Its description in RNAcentral is "bacterial SSU rRNA". It matches the Rfam family "Bacterial small subunit ribosomal RNA", at positions 538 to 1460 of the family's 1533-position model. The record is from RNAcentral.